GGCUAAGGUGAGUGCCUAGAUGAGGGCCGGACUCUGAAGGAAUCUGGGGUGCAGCCCACAGAGAUUCAGGGGACCCAGGAAUUCUGCUUUCCAGCCGGGCCUUACCCUAAGUGUCCUGGUGGCAGGAGAGGGUGGAGAGAGGGUGUGUGUGUGUGCACUGUGGAGGGUGGUGCUAAGUGGUGUGGAGAGUUGCAGACCUAGUCUCCUCCUGGGCCCCUGGGGUCCUCGGCUUUGCCUUGCUCCUUGGGCUCUCCUAAUUUAAUGAAAGCACCUAGGAAAACCCGUGGCAGGAGACAGAGUAAAAAUCUUUUUACUGAGACACUGCAUGUGGAAAAAACUAUUACAGUUUCCAGCUUUAUAAAUUAAUAAAAAUCAAGCACCUGGUAAUGCUGUUUAGUCACAAUUACAUUAAGUUGGGGGUGCGGGUGC
Molecule: long non-coding RNA, 429 nt
Filed under: Bos taurus (domestic cattle)
Lineage: Eukaryota; Metazoa; Chordata; Mammalia; Artiodactyla; Bovidae
Description: long non-coding RNA NONBTAT023301
Source: RNAcentral